RNAcentral lists this ribosomal RNA (507 nucleotides) under uncultured bacterium. RNAcentral's name for it is "partial 16S ribosomal RNA". It matches the Rfam family "Bacterial small subunit ribosomal RNA", at positions 355 to 853 of the family's 1533-position model. The record is from RNAcentral.
UGGGGAAUUUUGGACAAUGGGCGAAAGCCUGAUCCAGCAAUGCCGCGUGUGUGAAGAAGGCCUUCGGGUUGUAAAGCACUUUUGUCCGGAAAGAAAUCCUUGGCUCUAAUACAGUCGGGGGAUGACGGUACCGGAAGAAUAAGCACCGGCUAACUACGUGCCAGCAGCCGCGGUAAUACGUAGGGUGCAAGCGUUAAUCGGAAUUACUGGGCGUAAAGCGUGCGCAGGCGGUUUGCUAAGACCGAUGUGAAAUCCCCGGGCUCAACCUGGGAACUGCAUUGGUGACUGGCAGGCUAGAGUAUGGCAGAGGGGGGUAGAAUUCCACGUGUAGCAGUGAAAUGCGUAGAGAUGUGGAGGAAUACCGAUGGCGAAGGCAGCCCCCUGGGCCAAUACUGACGCUCAUGCACGAAAAGCGUGGGGAGCAAACAGGAUUAGAUACCCUGGUAGUCCACGCCCUAAAACGAUGUCAACUAGUUGUUGGGGAUUCAUUUCCUUAGUAACGUAGCU